CCAGCUUUAGAGGGGGACGAGUCACUCCGCAUGGCGAUGUUCCUUCUACUGCUGAGGAUGUAGCCCUCACUGCCUGGACACCACUCUGGAACACACACCACCCAGAAGAAGACAGAAACCAUGACAACAGUACACCUUCAGUCCAGGCCGACUGCAUUUCAACAGGUCUGGCUGCAGGAGACACCUUCUCACGCCACAGACACUGAGACAUAGGAGAUGAGACAGGAUGUUGAGUGAUGCCAGAGAGGAUGGUGCUUUACUGACACCAACAGCACGAGAGGUGAAAUUACAAGCUAGGUAGCUAGUGUGUCCUAAGGAGCUAGUGCGUGUGUACUAGCUAGCUGGACAAGCAACAAUGGUUAACAUUACGCCCUGGACCAGAGCUAGUGCCCUGACUGGUAUGUGCCUAACACACUGAUGCCCUGGACCAGAGCUAGUGACUCACGCUACACGAGACCAACAAACGUCUACAGGUUACGCGAGCACACACCAUCUGAGACACAAAAAUACCAUCAGAGACGUACUUUGAGGUUUGUAGACCACGCUGUGUCAGCAUGCAUAACCUGGAGCUGAAUGCUUCACCGUACAUCUGCUCCAGGUGUGUGUGUUUACCCUGGGGUGUCUGUGUUUACCGUGUGUGUGUUUACCAUGGGGUGCCAGUGUGGUGUAUCCUGUCUGUGGGACGCUCCAGGGGCUCCACUCGGUACGUCCCUCCCCCCGGGCACACACCCUGAACAGAUGAUCAGUGUGGGGGUCCAGGUGUAGGACCAGGAACUCCUGCUCCGGCCCGAUGACAACAUAUCCAGAGGCGCAAACAGAUUCCUGGGAUCAGGACUGGUCCCUUUGUUG
RNAcentral lists this long non-coding RNA (849 nucleotides) under Salmo salar (Atlantic salmon). RNAcentral describes it as "lncRNA (ENSSSAG00000099705.1, ENSSSAG00000100920.1)". The record is from RNAcentral. Lineage: Eukaryota; Metazoa; Chordata; Actinopteri; Salmoniformes; Salmonidae.